RNAcentral lists this long non-coding RNA (251 nucleotides) under Brassica napus (rape). Its description in RNAcentral is "long non-coding RNA (BNAP_LNC002303)". The record is from RNAcentral. Lineage: Eukaryota; Viridiplantae; Streptophyta; Magnoliopsida; Brassicales; Brassicaceae.
UGUUUGACUUUGUAGGAAGUGGUUAAACGUUUUGAUUCUUAGAAUCUAUUAUAUGUUUGACUGAUUAGGUUAGAUUGGUUUUUAUGUUUAUAGAAAUUGUUUAAUUCCCAAUCUUCUGAUAAUCAUAGUUUCAGCUUCCAAGAAUGUAAUUCAUCUUUUUGUAUGUCAUAUAUUUUUGGCACAGAAAAUGAAAAAGAAAACAUUUGACAUGUUAUGAAUGAUUUAUUUCCAGAUAAUAUAAUUAAGCAUGA